UCCUUCUGCUCUGCUUCUUCCUUCUCGUGCUUUGCCCUUCCCCUUUCCCAGGUGGCUGGAGUGGGGUGCUAGGCAGGGCCUGGUGGUGUACGAGCCCCCAGGCAUCCCAUCAGGGCGCUCGUUCUGCCUGAGCUGCUCUUUGGGGUAAGCGCUUUGCUUUUCCUUUAGUCGGUGGCCGGGUUCUUUAGGUGGGUCGGAGUCUAUGGGCUGAUGCGUUUCCAAGUUGAGAGAGAUAUAUCGAGCCUUUUGCGUACCUCUCCAGAGGACUCACAAAGAGCUUCAGUACACACCACAAGGGGCUUGACCACAUCGGCACAGUAUUACCAAGAGACUGAGCAGGGUCACCUUUUUCAGCUGUAAAGGCCCAGGUCAUGGGCACGGACUANGAGGACGAGUGGAUGGCAGCGUGGGCCAUGAGUUGAUGUCAGCGGGUCCAGUUCCUGGAAUGCUGGAGAUGCUCGGCGUGCAAGAGGAGCAGGGAGCGUGACGCAUCUCUUUGGGACGUUAGGUGAGCGAAGCGGUGGUACUGGGUUGGGGGACGUGGGUCUGGGGCUUCUUGGCUGUUGGGGUAGGGGAGGAAAGAAGAGGAGUGGGUAUAGACUGUUUUGUGGAUUGUCACCUUUGUCUGUUCUUUCUCCUUGGUCUAAGCCACGUGACCUUGGCUCGGCACGGCAAAUGGACGCGCUAAACCUUGAUCGGGAAGGGAUCGCUCCGGCAGGACUUGUGGCGCAGCAGGAUGUGAAGCAGACGGGGGGAAGGUCCCACGGUCCCGAAAUAAGGAGGAUGGCUCAGAAAAACAGGGCAAAAUCAAUAAAACCAAAAAUCACGGGCCCUCUAGGCAUGAGAGAAGGGGGAAAAAAAAAAAGAAAAAGGAGAAAUUAAACGGUUGGUCAAAUAAAAUUGUACGUGUAGGAUGUCA
RNAcentral lists this long non-coding RNA (919 nucleotides) under Anser brachyrhynchus (Pink-footed goose). RNAcentral describes it as "lncRNA (ENSABRG00000006855.1)". The record is from RNAcentral. Lineage: Eukaryota; Metazoa; Chordata; Aves; Anseriformes; Anatidae.